GGUUAAGCGACUAAGCGUACACGGUGGAUGCCCUGGCAGUCAGAGGCGAUGAAGGACGUGCUAAUCUGCGAUAAGCGUCGGUAAGGUGAUAUGAACCGUUAUAACCGGCGAUUUCCGAAUGGGGAAACCCAGUGUGUUUCGACACACUAUCAUUAACUGAAUCCAUAGGUUAAUGAGGCGAACCGGGGGAACUGAAACAUCUAAGUACCCCGAGGAAAAGAAAUCAACCGAGAUUCCCCCAGUAGCGGCGAGCGAACGGGGAGCAGCCCAGAGCCUGAAUCAGUGUGUGUGUUAGUGGAAGCGUCUGGAAAGGCGCGCGAUACAGGGUGACAGCCCCGUACACAAAAAUGCACAUGCUGUGAGCUCGAUGAGUAGGGCGGGACACGUGGUAUCCUGUCUGAAUAUGGGGGGACCAUCCUCCAAGGCUAAAUACUCCUGACUGACCGAUAGUGAACCAGUACCGUGAGGGAAAGGCGAAAAGAACCCCGGCGAGGGGAGUGAAAAAGAACCUGAAACCGUGUACGUACAAGCAGUGGGAGCACGCUUAGGCGUGUGACUGCGUACCUUUUGUAUAAUGGGUCAGCGACUUAUAUUCUGUAGCAAGGUUAACCGAAUAGGGGAGCCGAAGGGAAACCGAGUCUUAACUGGGCGUUAAGUUGCAGGGUAUAGACCCGAAACCCGGUGAUCUAGCCAUGGGCAGGUUGAAGGUUGGGUAACACUAACUGGAGGACCGAACCGACUAAUGUUGAAAAAUUAGCGGAUGACUUGUGGCUGGGGGUGAAAGGCCAAUCAAACCGGGAGAUAGCUGGUUCUCCCCGAAAGCUAUUUAGGUAGCGCCUCGUGAAUUCAUCUCCGGGGGUAGAGCACUGUUUCGGCAAGGGGGUCAUCCCGACUUACCAACCCGAUGCAAACUGCGAAUACCGGAGAAUGUUAUCACGGGAGACACACGGCGGGUGCUAACGUCCGUCGUGAAGAGGGAAACAACCCAGACCGCCAGCUAAGGUCCCAAAGUCAUGGUUAAGUGGGAAACGAUGUGGGAAGGCCCAGACAGCCAGGAUGUUGGCUUAGAAGCAGCCAUCAUUUAAAGAAAGCGUAAUAGCUCACUGGUCGAGUCGGCCUGCGCGGAAGAUGUAACGGGGCUAAACCAUGCACCGAAGCUGCGGCAGCGACGCUUAUGCGUUGUUGGGUAGGGGAGCGUUCUGUAAGCCUGCGAAGGUGUGCUGUGAGGCAUGCUGGAGGUAUCAGAAGUGCGAAUGCUGACAUAAGUAACGAUAAAGCGGGUGAAAAGCCCGCUCGCCGGAAGACCAAGGGUUCCUGUCCAACGUUAAUCGGGGCAGGGUGAGUCGACCCCUAAGGCGAGGCCGAAAGGCGUAGUCGAUGGGAAACAGGUUAAUAUUCCUGUACUUGGUGUUACUGCGAAGGGGGGACGGAGAAGGCUAUGUUGGCCGGGCGACGGUUGUCCCGGUUUAAGCGUGUAGGCUGGUUUUCCAGGCAAAUCCGGAAAAUCAAGGCUGAGGCGUGAUGACGAGGCACUACGGUGCUGAAGCAACAAAUGCCCUGCUUCCAGGAAAAGCCUCUAAGCAUCAGGUAACAUCAAAUCGUACCCCAAACCGACACAGGUGGUCAGGUAGAGAAUACCAAGGCGCUUGAGAGAACUCGGGUGAAGGAACUAGGCAAAAUGGUGCCGUAACUUCGGGAGAAGGCACGCUGAUAUGUAGGUGAGGUCCCUCGCGGAUGGAGCUGAAAUCAGUCGAAGAUACCAGCUGGCUGCAACUGUUUAUUAAAAACACAGCACUGUGCAAACACGAAAGUGGACGUAUACGGUGUGACGCCUGCCCGGUGCCGGAAGGUUAAUUGAUGGGGUUAGCGCAAGCGAAGCUCUUGAUCGAAGCCCCGGUAAACGGCGGCCGUAACUAUAACGGUCCUAAGGUAGCGAAAUUCCUUGUCGGGUAAGUUCCGACCUGCACGAAUGGCGUAAUGAUGGCCAGGCUGUCUCCACCCGAGACUCAGUGAAAUUGAACUCGCUGUGAAGAUGCAGUGUACCCGCGGCAAGACGGAAAGACCCCGUGAACCUUUACUAUAGCUUGACACUGAACAUUGAGCCUUGAUGUGUAGGAUAGGUGGGAGGCUUAGAAGUGUGGACGCCAGUCUGCAUGGAGCCGACCUUGAAAUACCACCCUUUAAUGUUUGAUGUUCUAACGUUGACCCGUAAUCCGGGUUGCGGACAGUGUCUGGUGGGUAGUUUGACUGGGGCGGUCUCCUCCUAAAGAGUAACGGAGGAGCACGAAGGUUGGCUAAUCCUGGUCGGACAUCAGGAGGUUAGUGCAAUGGCAUAAGCCAGCUUGACUGCGAGCGUGACGGCGCGAGCAGGUGCGAAAGCAGGUCAUAGUGAUCCGGUGGUUCUGAAUGGAAGGGCCAUCGCUCAACGGAUAAAAGGUACUCCGGGGAUAACAGGCUGAUACCGCCCAAGAGUUCAUAUCGACGGCGGUGUUUGGCACCUCGAUGUCGGCUCAUCACAUCCUGGGGCUGAAGUAGGUCCCAAGGGUAUGGCUGUUCGCCAUUUAAAGUGGUACGCGAGCUGGGUUUAGAACGUCGUGAGACAGUUCGGUCCCUAUCUGCCGUGGGCGCUGGAGAACUGAGGGGGGCUGCUCCUAGUACGAGAGGACCGGAGUGGACGCAUCACUGGUGUUCGGGUUGUCAUGCCAAUGGCACUGCCCGGUAGCUAAAUGCGGAAGAGAUAAGUGCUGAAAGCAUCUAAGCACGAAACUUGCCCCGAGAUGAGUUCUCCCUGACUCCUUGAGAGUCCUGAAGGAACGUUGAAGACGACGACGUUGAUAGGCCGGGUGUGUAAGCGCAGCGAUGCGUUGAGCUAACCGGUACUAAUGAACCGUGAGGCUUAACCUU
This 2904-nucleotide ribosomal RNA is filed under the name Escherichia coli. RNAcentral describes it as "23S ribosomal RNA". It matches the Rfam family "Bacterial large subunit ribosomal RNA". Lineage: Bacteria; Pseudomonadati; Pseudomonadota; Gammaproteobacteria; Enterobacterales; Enterobacteriaceae. The record is from RNAcentral.